CUUUCUUUGCUGGCGACCGGCGCACGGGUGAGUAACACGUAUCCAACCUGCCCUUUACUCGGGGAUAGCCUUUCGAAAGAAAGAUUAAUACCCGAUGGCAUAAUGAUUCCGCAUGGUUUCAUUAUUAAAGGAUUCCGGUAAAGGAUGGGGAUGCGUUCCAUUAGGUCGUUGGUGAGGUAACGGCCCACCAAGCCUUCGAUGGAUAGGGGUUCUGAGAGGAAGGUCCCCCACAUUGGAACUGAGACACGGUCCAA
This 254-nucleotide ribosomal RNA is filed under the name uncultured bacterium. Its description in RNAcentral is "partial 16S ribosomal RNA". It matches the Rfam family "Bacterial small subunit ribosomal RNA", at positions 79 to 334 of the family's 1533-position model. The record is from RNAcentral.